Molecule: unclassified non-coding RNA, 192 nt
Filed under: uncultured Piloderma
Lineage: Eukaryota; Fungi; Basidiomycota; Agaricomycetes; Atheliales; Atheliaceae
Description: sequence contains ITS2
Source: RNAcentral
AAUUCUCAACUCUGAUUUGAUUUUUCUAAUCGGAGCUUGGACUUGGAGCGUGCUGGCGUCUAGUCGGCUCCUCUCAAAUGCAUCAGCGGAAUAUAACCUUUGGUUUCCGGACGUCGGUGUGAUAAUAAAGUUGCGCCGUCAUUCGACUUCAAAGUCCGCUCAUAAUAGUCUUCGGACGAACUCUUAUAUCAA